UACGUAGGGUGCGAGCGUUUGUCCGGAAUUAUUGGGCGUAAAGGGCUCGUAGGCGGUUUGUCGCGUCGGGAGUGAAAUCCACUGGCUUAACUGGUGGCUUGCUUUCGAUAUGGGCAGACUGGAGGCAUGCAGAGGAGAGCGGAAUUCCCGGUGUAGCGGUAAUAUGCGUAGAUAUCGGGAGGAACACCAGUGGCGAAGGCGGCUCUCUGGGGUAUUUCUGACGCUGAGGCACGAAAGCCAGGGGAGCGAACGGG
Molecule: ribosomal RNA, 254 nt
Filed under: uncultured bacterium
Lineage: Bacteria
Description: partial 16S ribosomal RNA
Rfam family: Bacterial small subunit ribosomal RNA
Source: RNAcentral